AAACUUUGGCGUUGCCAUGGUGACCGCUCUAGCACAGACGCGAUACCUCAGUGAAUUGAUAAAAAAAAAGUUUUACUUGACUGUUAUUAUAAACGUUAGUCGGCUUUGUACUGGCGGUUAAGGAUUUAUAUCUAACAACUGGCUGGCGGUUGGUUAUUAUUGUCAUGAGCUCGUUAAGAUUCGGAGCGGGAAUACGUUCAGUGUGAGACCUCCUGUCGACUUUGUGCUCUAUGGUGCUCUCAGGUGUUCGGGGCGCAAAAGGGGAAUCAGCGCCACCUGAUGGCUGUAACGUCAUACUACAAACAAACUGAUGGAUGCAGGGCGCCUCUUGUGUCCCACCUGGACGAUCUAUGCAGAGCUUCGUAUCUUGCUACCCUUUUACAUUCAGCUUGGCACAGUGCAGGACUACUCGCACGACGACGACGGAUGACGACAGACUGUGCAAAAUUAAAAAAAACCGAAGCAACACAUUUGAGGUGCGCGCGGUUUCUCUCGCCGAGGCUGCGCUCAAGACUGCGUUUGGUUUUCGGUGGGUAAGAAUAUAAUCUUGCCUUUUGUAAAUUAAAUUUGUUGUUUGUCUUUUUAUUAUACCCAGUAAGAGAAAACGAGAUAAGUCAUGAUGAGAAUUGGGGAGUGAGGGGAGUGAGGGAGUGGGUGGAGGUGUGAGGGGUUGGAGCUGUACAGGCCAGGAAUAUUUAUAUAUAUAUAUUUAUAA
Long non-coding RNA from Acanthopagrus latus (yellowfin seabream), 715 nucleotides. RefSeq lists it as uncharacterized. NCBI's taxonomy places the organism in Eukaryota, Metazoa, Chordata, Actinopteri, Spariformes, Sparidae. The transcript has 2 exons. The record is from RefSeq and is a predicted model, not a curated record.